UCAGAUUCUCCAGCAUCUGCAGUUCCUACUAUCUCUUGUAUUUAUUUCUGUUUUUGACUACAUUAAUUGUGAGACUAGGAUAGUCAAUGAUUAAAGUUACAAAAUCAGAAAUUGCUUGCGAAACUCAGCAGAUCUCACAACAUGUGUGAUUCUUCUUCAGAACUGCAGCAAUUUCUGUUUUUUCUGUUUCAAAUCUCCAGCAUCCACAGUUCUUUGUUUGAUUACACUCAUUAAAAUUGUCUGAUUAUGAACACGUUUAUGGAUUGUUAAGGUUUACAAGAUAAAAGAUAUGGAGUGAGAAAGAUUACCUUUAUUCUGAGUUACCAAGUUUUCCUUUUAUGAAAUAAGCUUCAUAUUUCACCUUGUCCUUUUUUUCUUUACAUUCUUUUAUAACCUGAUAUUCUUCAAAUAACAGCCUUUGAAGGUGGAUGCUAUUUGUGCCUCUAAGAUCUUGUGAAGUGAGAUAAAAGGCCCUGAAAUUAUGUCAUUGAAUUCUAAUGUGUGAAUAUUUAAACAGUUGUUUUGAAAUUACUGUCUCCACUAUGUUAAUUAUGGUAUUAUUUUAAAUUAAUUAACAACUUUUGCAUUGACACAUUUCAAACAAAUGUAUUAAGUGUAUUUGUGUGAUUGUAUGCCAUGGCCCCCUUUCAGUGUCUAAUUACAAAACCUUGCAAAGUGCAGUCUGUAGCCACCAGUGAUAGCAGAGUCAUAGUUUAAGGUCAGAAGAAAUUGGCUCAUGUAAUUUUCAUCCAUUUGAGGUAGUAAGACAGUGGAGCAGAAAUUCCCAGGUGUCUUUUCAUGAUGUGUAUUGAGUUAAAAGAUCUUAGCCGGUUAAAUAGACAAGUAGUUUCUACACUGGAAGAAUCUAAUCCAUCAGAUUUCUAGCCCUGAUCACUGUGCAGAAACUCCUGCUAAAAGUGCACAUUUGUGGAAAUGAAAUACUGAGAAAGUCAGGAUUAGCUGUGUUUUUUUUUACUUAAUCAUGAAUAUUCCCUUUUAAUAGUCUGGCUAGUACAUGAAUAAUGGAUAUUUGAAUGGGUGUCCUACAGUAUGCCUGGCUUUUGCAGAACCUUGCCUCAAUUGAUCUGACAUCCAAUAGUCAGGAGUGAACGGACAAUUUUUUUUCAUAGAUAAGAAAACAUUAACUUUUCAUCCUUUGUCCUCCCCUGAAUAGGUAGAGACUUGUUGGAAUUUGGUUUUAAGAAUAUGAGCAGAUGUUACCAAAGCAGUAAUUUUUCAGAUGCUGCUAGACCCGUUGUGUAUUUCCUAACGUCUGAAGUAUAUUGCUUUUUGUGAAUUUGACUUUGAAGAGUGUCACAUUGGGCACACGCCUGGCUUGAAACCCUUUUCUCUCUUUGGCUUGGAGGUGCGAAACCAAAUAAUAAUAAUGAUUGAUGUGAAUGUUCAGGGUAGACACUCUUAACAGUAUUCUAAGAAUCAAAAUUGGGAUUUCUGAUCUCAGUGACUUAGUACUACAUGAAUCAUUAUGUUUAGCCAUUAAUCUACCAGGGAAUGAGAAUUUUCUAAAAAAAAAUGUAAUGGAGAAAAAAAUACUUUAAGUGAUUGCUUUUUAUUAAACAGGACAUUGGAAUAGAGAGAAAUAGAGGCCUGGGUUAAAUCACUCCCAGGCUUCAGACCCUGGUAACAAUGUUCUGAGAAAACAUCCAGCAGAACUCGGGUGUUUUUCCACUGGAAUCAGCUUCAGUUAACAUCGGAACACUCCAAGAUUUAACUCGGAUCUGCAUUCGGCGGACUCUUAAAAAUACAAUAAAUCAGGACAAGUCAAAUGGUGGUGUUCCUCCAAAGGCUGUUUCCAGAUUUAAAAGAAGACGGAUUCGAAGGCGACGGAUGGAUGCAAUUGUCCUUGUUGACAAGCAGGUUUUUGCAAAUCGAAUUUCAAAUCCUUUUGAUAACAACAAUAAUAAUGGUGAGGACAUGGAGGAUGUUAGGAGAGACGAUGAUGAAAAGGAAUACAACGACUUUAAACCUGAUCCUCCAUUAAAUCUGCUUCGAGAAAAAAUUCUCAGUUUGCCUUUACCCGAGCCAUUAAAAUUAUACCUGUUGUAUUACAGAGAUAAAUAAGUCUUGGAAAUGACUGCUAGUAAUAACUGUAAUAUAUUGCACAUAAGCUAAAGUUUGAAAAAUAUAGGGGACAUAUACUGCAAUGAAAAAAACGUGAGCACUUUUACAGACUUGGUGGAUUAGCAAUUUCCUUUUAAUAGUUUAUUACUAACUAGACUGGUUUCUCCCAUUUUAAAAAUGCUCUAGCAUUAUCCCUGUAAAGUAUUUUCAAAACUUUAUGCUUGGCUCUGCUGUACAUUACUGCAUCAUUUAUGGCAAGCACUUCUUUAAGAAACAAUAUACGAGAUGAUUAGAAAAAUGUAAAGUUACUAUCCCUGUAAAACUGUUUUCAGUGGCUUGUAUCUCGUCUGUAUAAUGACAUAUUGUAAUUUGUAAUAACUUAGUUCAAUAUUUAAUACUGUUUAGUUUAAAGAUGGUAAAUUUUAAGCACAGUUCUGUGCGUUAUAUGCCAAAAUUGUUUUUUUUUGUAAAGCAAUUGUUAAGAUGUAACUUUAGAGAUUCUUUUCAGAUUAGCUUCUUAAUUUAAAAGUUUUUAAAAACAACAUUAGUUACUGCUCUGAUAUUUUCAUAUUUUUGCAGAUUGCUUAGUAGAUGAACAGAUGUAAGCAAGUACUUGUUUAGACAUUUCUCUGCAAUAAAUAAAACAAUAAAAGUUGAUACAUAGACAA
Molecule: long non-coding RNA, 2750 nt
Organism: Rhincodon typus (whale shark)
Lineage: Eukaryota; Metazoa; Chordata; Chondrichthyes; Orectolobiformes; Rhincodontidae
Exons: 2
Source: RefSeq, a predicted model, not a curated record